GUAGGUGAACCUGCGGAAGGAUCAUUAAUAUAUAUAAGGCCACGGGGCAAAGCUCUCCGAAAGGACAGUUGGUGGAUGUUCGGUUCCACCGGCUGGGGCAGACUGGAGAACAAUGUCAGCGAUACACUGCCUGACCUCUUUUCGACCUCUGCUAUCGAGCUUGCUGUCUGAACCCUACCCUUGCUUUUUGCGCACCUAUUGUUUCCUCGGCAGGCUUGCCUGCCAGUAGGACCCUCUUAAACCCUUUGUA
This 250-nucleotide unclassified non-coding RNA is filed under the name plant metagenome. RNAcentral describes it as "partial contains small subunit ribosomal RNA, internal transcribed spacer 1, and 5.8S ribosomal RNA". The record is from RNAcentral.